GACGAACCGAGCGAACGUUGUUCGGAAUCACUGGGCUUAAAGGGCGCGUAGGCGGGCUAUCAAGUCCGGGGUGAAAUCCUCCAGCUUAACUGGAGAACUGCCUCGGAUACUGAUGGUCUCGAGGGAGAUAGGGGCAAGCGGAACUGUGGGUGGAGCGGUGAAAUGCGUUGAUAUCCAUAGGAACUCCGGUGGCGAAGGCGGCUUGCUGGAUCUCAUCUGACGCUGAGGCGCGAAAGCGUGGGGAGCAAACAGGAUUAGAAACCCC
Molecule: ribosomal RNA, 265 nt
Filed under: uncultured bacterium
Lineage: Bacteria
Description: partial 16S ribosomal RNA
Rfam family: Bacterial small subunit ribosomal RNA
Source: RNAcentral